AUGAAAAAUUUUAAAUAUAAUGCUAAUAAUUAAGUUACAAUAAAAUUAUAGGUUUUAUUGUUAGUGAGUUCUGGCCAAAGUAAACUCCCAAAAUGUCCUGUCAUGCCUUGAACAAACAUUCAGAUGAGGGCUGUGCCGGCUCUUCAGGUCAAGCCUCUACCUCAGCCUCAGCCCAGGAAGUUCACAUCCAGGGUCACAUAUCUCAGCAAGCCUCUGAGAUGGCACUGCAGGUAAGGAGACCCUGGUUACUUGACCCUUUGCUGGAUUACAGGUAGUUACCUGAUUCGGUGCCAUUGCAGGAUCAGAGGUGCCAAGCACCACAAAUCCACUAAGAUAACAAGCAUAAGGCCUUGGACCUUGUGUGGGGAAAGAAAUACCAUCAAGAGCCACCACCUUUCCUCUACAGAAUGAAGAAUCAUGAAAGACCCUUGAGGGGCGAGUUUUUGCACCAGGUGCUCAGCUGUUAUCCCUCAGACAGUGGUCUUCCAAACCCUCGAAGUCCUGCACCACAAGCUGACACAUGUGAUCAGGACUCCUGUGGACUCUCACACUCAACAGUCAAGACGGAGAUGUCUCUCGAAUCUCAGUCUCUCGCACAUCUCCCGAGUUCCUACCACUGGCAACCCUGCAGACAAAAAGAUGAAUAAAGAAAAGCACUCUGCCUGGAGCUUCAGGUUUAAGGGAAAAUGCAGAUCCACAUAUGGGUGGUUUCAGUGUUUCCUGUGAGUGACAUGACAGAGUUUAUCAGGUGCUCUUGGAACUCCAAAGCUGUCUCUGGAACAGGUGGACUGUGGCGCUGGAGAGGGAAAGACAAAAGCCACUCUCAUCUGGAGGGUCUCUAUGCCCCUGACCUUCCCUAAGAGUACCCAGUGUUAGAAGAACUUCUGGGAACUGGUGGGGCUCGGUAGAAGGCGUGAGAAGCAGACUUGGACGAAAUCCUUCAGCAACGUCAACUCGACCGUUAAGACUUGGGGUAAAUGGUGGAUAAAGCAGAUGCUUUCCCAGUCCAAACCCCUUCCGCACGAGAAGCCCUAGCCGAGAAAACGCAGCCUGCGCGGUGCUGCGAGGGAAGCUGACUCCCUUCAGGCCGGGUUGUCACACCACGGGGUACCCCCGGGGCUCGGCCACUCCACUUGGCUGCUCUUCUCCGCCCGCGCUCCAGGCCACCGCGCCCGACCUCCUAGCUCCGGCUCCCACCGGCAGCCUGGCCCGGACAGCCUCACCCCUCGGCCACCGCUUUCUGGGCGAAACUGCCAGGCAGCUCGGACAGGGCACUUCCUGGAGGGAUGCGACGGCGUGUGCCCUCUUAUCCUUUUUUUCCGUAGUAGCCCUGACGGGGGUAGGAUACGGGGGAAUCUUCACCCGGAGGUGGGGUGGGAGACCCCUGCUGGGUGCCCCCAGACGGGGGCGGGGCGGUGGUUCCGCUGCUGGGUGCCCCUUGCUCGGCAGGGUCGCAUUACCAGACACCAGAACCACGGCUCCGUUCGCCAAACCCGUAGGUGAGGCUCCGGCCCGAGAACCGCGCCCGCCUCCCGGCACAGGAGGCUCCGGCGCGGGAAGGCCAGACACAGCCCGCGGGGCCCAGGGGCUCGCUGCCCAACCUCUGCCCGGCCGCAGCGCGUUAUCUGUAAGGUUGCCCGCCACGUGGCCGCGGCUCCGCGCCCACCCGGCCGCACCCGCGCACCUGGAC
Non-coding RNA from Ictidomys tridecemlineatus (thirteen-lined ground squirrel), 1690 nucleotides. The record is from RefSeq and is a predicted model, not a curated record. NCBI's taxonomy places the organism in Eukaryota, Metazoa, Chordata, Mammalia, Rodentia, Sciuridae.